AGCGAACGCUGGCGGCAGGCCUAACACAUGCAAGUCGAACGGACUCUUCGGAGUUAGUGGCGGACGGGUGAGUAACACGUGGGAACGUGCCUUUAGGUUCGGAAUAAGCCCGGGAAACUGGGUCUAAUACCGAAUGUGCCCUUCGGGGGAAAGAUUUAUCGCCUUUAGAGCGGCCCGCGUCUGAUUAGCUAGUUGGUAGUGUAAUGGACUACCAAGGCUACGAUCAGUAGCUGGUCUGAGAGGAUGACCAGCCACAUUGGGACUGAGACACGGCCCAAACUCCUACGGGAGGCAGCAGUGGGGAAUCUUGCGCAAUGGGCGAAAGCCUGACGCAGCCAUGCCGCGUGAAUGAUGAAGGUCUUAGGAUUGUAAAAUUCUUUCACCGGGGACGAUAAUGACGGUACCCGGAGAAGAAGCCCCGGCUAACUUCGUGCCAGCAGCCGCGGUAAUACGAAGGGGGCUAGCGUUGCUCGGAAUUACUGGGCGUAAAGGGCGCGUAGGCGGACAUUUAAGUCAGGGGUGAAAUCCCAGAGCUCAACUCUGGAACUGCCUUUGAUACUGGGUGUCUUGAGUGUGAGAGAGGUAUGUGGAACUCCGAGUGUAGAGGUGAAAUUCGUAGAUAUUCGGAAGAACACCAGUGGCGAAGGCGACAUACUGGCUCAUUACUGACGCUGAGGCGCGAAAGCGUGGGGAGCAAACAGGAUUAGAUACCCUGGUAGUCCACGCCGUAAACGAUGAUUGCUAGUUGUCGGGCUGCAUGCAGUUCGGUGACGCAGCUAACGC
Molecule: ribosomal RNA, 783 nt
Filed under: Caulobacter sp. Schreyahn_AOB_Sali_Kultur_2
Lineage: Bacteria; Pseudomonadati; Pseudomonadota; Alphaproteobacteria; Caulobacterales; Caulobacteraceae
Description: bacterial SSU rRNA
Rfam family: Bacterial small subunit ribosomal RNA
Source: RNAcentral